GGCUCUUCGUGAUAACUAAAUGGGGAGUUGGACCUGCCCGGUGAAUUAUUUAAUUUUAACGGCCGCGGUACUUUGACCGUGCAAAGGUAGCAUAAUCAUUUGCCCUAUAAUUGAGGGCUAGUAUGAAUGGUUUGACAAGAGUAUAACUGUCUCUUUAUGAUUCUAUAAAAUUUUAUAUUUAGGUGAAGAAGCCUAGUUAUAAUUAAAAGACAAGAAGACCCUAUCGAGCUUAAAAGAAGUUAAUAGGUUAUUUAAUAAUAUUACUAAAAAUCUUUCUAUUAAAAAUUUUAGUUGGGAUGACUAAGGAACAAAAAAAGCUUCCUUGAAAAAUAAGUGUCUUACAAGUAAUGAUCCAAAAAUUUUGAUUAGGGAAAUUAGUUACCGUAGGGAUAACAGCAUUAUCUUUUUUAAGAGUUCUUAUCGAAAAAAAGGUUUGUGACCUCGAUGUUGGACCAGAAAUAGCCUAAAGAUGCAAAAGUCUUUUAAGAGGUUGGUCUGUUCGACCAUUAAAAUUCUACG
RNAcentral lists this ribosomal RNA (519 nucleotides) under Australaria australasia. RNAcentral's name for it is "partial 16S ribosomal RNA". It matches the Rfam family "Bacterial large subunit ribosomal RNA", at positions 1817 to 2600 of the family's 2925-position model. The record is from RNAcentral. Lineage: Eukaryota; Metazoa; Mollusca; Gastropoda; Neogastropoda; Fasciolariidae.